Molecule: transfer RNA, 69 nt
Filed under: Peirates arcuatus
Lineage: Eukaryota; Metazoa; Arthropoda; Insecta; Hemiptera; Reduviidae
Description: tRNA-Phe
Source: RNAcentral
ACUUGAAUAGCUUAAAGUUUAAAGCCCAGUAUUGAAGAUACUGUAAUAAGUAUAAUUACUUUUCAGGUA